Molecule: ribosomal RNA, 2397 nt
Filed under: Triticum aestivum (bread wheat)
Lineage: Eukaryota; Viridiplantae; Streptophyta; Magnoliopsida; Poales; Poaceae
Description: partial small subunit ribosomal RNA
Source: RNAcentral
AUGAAGAGCCUGUGUUAUAUGAUCUCAGUGAGCCACCCAUCUAUGCUGUUGAUGAAGAAGGGAGUUGCCUUUGAAAGUCAGAGUAGCAGCUGCAGUUUAGUAGCUCAUGGUACUGGUGUUUGCACACAAGAGAGCAAGAAUGUAAAAGGAAAACUGAAAGCUGUUUUGGAAAUAGAAGAAGAAGAGGGAUAUGAUGGCAGUGGUGGUUCUGAUUGUGAAGGUGAAGAUGACAGUGAUGUAAACCCUUUUUAUAUGGGUGAUGCUGAUGACAUAGAGAUGGAUGAGGGAAAGAAACAGAGAGAGUAUGAUGAAGUAGAAGAGGAAGAAACAGAUGAUGAAGAAUCUGAGGAGGAAGAAAUGGUGCAUUACUCUGGUGACACAGAGGUUGAGGAACCUUUUGAAAUGGAUGAAGAUGACAAGGUUGUUUCACAGGAUGAAGAAACUGUAAUUGUACAUGAAGAGAAGAAGAAGAAGAAACAGAAGCUUCCAGUUAGGAAAGGGCCUACAACAAGGACACAUUCAAGUGUAGUUCAAGAGGAGGAACCUGAUUUCCAACCUUCAUCUGAUGAAGAAGAGAAAGAAUUGUUGAAGGAGGCUGAUGAUGAUGGUUAUGAGCCAUUGUCAUUUGUGCUGCCAAAGAAAAGGAAGAGCAGGGCAAAGCAGAGGCCUCCUAGAAAAUGGUACAAUGAGAAAAUGGAGGCACCACAUGAGCAAUUAUGUCUACAGAUGUGUUUCAAGGAUCAACAUCAAUUCAGAGAGGCUUUGUUGAACUUACACAUCACUCAAGGCAGAAACUUCAAAUAUCAUAGGAACUCAGAUCAAAGAAUAAUUGUAGAAUGCAACCAAAAACAUUGCAACUUCUUUAUGGUGGCAGCAGUUAUAAAAGGUGAAACUACUUUUGUAAUUAAGAAGAUGAGAAUUAAGCACACUUGCCCUAUUAGUACAGAGACAACAAGGGUAAGUGCCAAGUGGCUUGCACAGAAGUAUGAGUCACUGUUCAGAUCUGAUCUAACAACUGGCAUUCAGACUUUGAUUGAUGCCUGCAUGGAGAAGUAUGGUGUGGAUGUGCCCAAGUCAAUGGCAUAUAGGGCAAAGAACCUAGCUAUUGAUGCUGUGCUAGGAGACCACAAGAAGCAAUACCCUAGGUUGAAAGACUAUGCUCAGACAGUGAUGGAUACAAACCCUGGGAGUAGAGUAGUAGUCACUACUGUAACUCCAACACCCACUGAAAAAAUCCCCCAUCCAGGUCCAAGAUUCCAUGCUAUGUUCUAUUGCAUCAAUGGAGCAAGGGAGGGGUUUCUCGAGGGGUGCAGACCAUUCAUUGGUGUUGAUGGGUGCUUCAUUAAGUUAACUACUGGUGCUCAACUACUUGCUGCCACUGGUAGAGAUGGCAACAACAAUAUAUACCCACUAGCAUUUGGUAUUGUUGGGCAAGAGGACACACCUAACUGGUGUUGGUUUCUACACCAACUUAAAAUCUGCCUAGGAGGAGAAGUGGGAAGGUUUGGUCCAUAUACAAUAAUGUCAGAUAGACAAAAGGGCCUACUAAAUGCAGUGAAUGAUGUCUUUCCUAAGUGCAACCAAAGGUUCUGCCUUAGGCAUAUCUAUGCAAACUUCCAAAAUGCUGGGUUUAGGGGGGAAGAUCUGAAAAAGUGUAUGGAUAAUGCUGCCUAUGCAUAUAGUGAACACAAAUUUAACAUUGCAAUGAAUGACCUUAGAGCUGAGUGUGAGCAAGCUUGGGAGUGGCUUUGUCAAAUACCCAAGAAAACAUGGGCAAGGCAUGCAUUUGACACAAACUGCAAGACUGACCUUGUAGUUAACAAUUUAUCUGAGGUGUUCAACAAGUAUGUCCUAGAUGUUAGGAAGAAACCAAUUAGGACAAUGUGUGAUGGAAUAAAGGAUAAGCAGAUGGUGAGGUGGCAUAGGAAUAGGGAGAGUGGAAAGAAAGCUAGAUGGGACAUAACACCCCAUUAUAGUGAGAAGCUAGAGGUUGAGAAGGAGAGGGCCAAAUAUUGCAAACUAAUUCAAGCUGGUGUGGACUUGUGGCAAGUUACAAGUGGGCAGCAAACCCAUGCUGUUAACUUGCAAAUGCACACAUGUGGGUGCAGAAAAUGGGACCUAAGUGGCAUCCCAUGUAACCAUGCCAUCUCAGCAAUAAACAAGGCCAAAAUAAAACCAGAGGAUUAUGUCAGCAAGUUCUUCAAGAAAGAAAUUUAUCUGGCAGCUUAUGAACCAAUGAUCUAUCCAGUUCCUGGUGAGCAUGACUGGACAAGGACCCCUGGUCCAGACAUUGACCUACCUGCAUUUAAAGUGAAGAGAGGAAGAAAGAAAGAGAAGAGGAUCAAGGGGAAAUUGAAGUUCCAAAGCCUAAGGAGACAUCAAGAAUGGGGACUAUAA